UUUUUUUUUUUUUUUUUGGUGAAAUUCCUUUUCCUGGCUCAUCCUGGCUCAAAAGCUCCCCGCUGAGCACCUUGUGACCCCCACUCCUGCCCGCCAGAGAACAACCCCUCUUUGACUGUAAUUUUCCUUUAUCUAUCCAAAUCCUAUAACACGGCCCCACACUUACCUCCCUUCCCUGACUCUCUUUGGACUCAGCCCGCCUGCACCCAGGUGAAAUAAACAGCCAUGUUGCGCUCACAAAGCCUGUUUGAUGGUCUCUUCACACGGGCGUGCAUGACAAUAGUUAAGGGGAUACUGAAGUGUUUGGCAGCUCCAAGAACUUUUUCAGUUUGUGUCGGGACAUUUUAGGCAGAAGGAAAAGCUUGCUUAGAGAAUCUUAUAGAAAUGUUUGGAGCAGUGCCAUUAACUCGUGGAAUAAAUGUGUAACUUUCCGUGGAGGCCCUCUGGGAAGAGCUUCACUUUGAGUGCACCCUGGUCUGCUCGCUACAAGAAUCGGCCGUGUCAUCCCGCUUUCCGUGGGUCUGCAGGUGUGCGUGGUCCAUUGCCCUGCACUGUGGCCAUGGAAGGGAAGAUGAUCUGGAAUGUUGGCGACAGUUAUCGGUGUGUGUUGGUGUGUGCUGCUUUCUACAGGGGAGAACAUUUCUGUUUAAUAAACAUCUCAUCAGGAUGAUGACUGGAAGAUAUUUGAGUCUCAUUCAAUAGUGUUUCGGGGUUCCUUCUGUUUUAAUCUGCUUUCUAGCACUAGGCAAGUGAAGACAUGGAAAGUAAAAACCCAUCGAACUUGUGGAGACAUGGUGUUGUGUAGGAGCAGACUGUAGCCUCUGGCUCUGUUUAAAGAUUGUAGUAAACCUCUUACCUGGCAUGGUCAGGGUGUAAGUUAUCUUGUUUAAUCGAAAUGUGUAUGAGUCAAAGCUGGCGCCUGCAUUGUUGAUGAAAUACCAGAUGUUAAGGGAACAUGUCAAUCUGCCGUAAGAUACCAACAAAGUUCCUCAUUGAUGUUCGGUGCGGGUUCGGAGGAGCUGGGCCUUAGGUCACCGGGGUCGUCUCUGGGAGCAGAUGCUCAGUGUGGGCAUUAGUCACUUAGCCUUUCCAGAGCCGAGAAACAGCUCUCUGUGGUGGUUUUUGGAACCUGCAUUUUGAGUCAGUUUGUCCCACUUGACUCGAAGUUGCCGCGCAGUUUCAGACCUUUGCCUCCACCGCCGUUUUCUUGUCCUCUGAUAAGUGCCUCAGUUGCCCCGGCCUGACAUUUGAGCCUCGUCGUUCAUGGACACAGACUCCGUGGUGGGGCAAAGGCCGCGACUCCGGCUUGCACAGUUCCGUGCCUCUCACCAUGGCUUAUCACAUCACUCCCGGGAUCUCCCGUUUAGAGGAAGAGUGUCCCUUUCCUGCAGGCCCUGUGUGGUGUGGAAACCACCCCUACCUACCUUUCUCCCGUUUGAACUGUACCGUGAAGCUAUUUCUGUCCUAGCCAACCGUCAGAAUUUAAGGAACAGUAAUUUAUGUAACUUAUUACACGCUUCUCAGCAGUUCUUUAUGAAUUUCAUUCUGUUGUGAAAUUAUUGCAGUUUUCACGGCUAUGCUGGUCUCAGGUUGUGGCCCUUGAAAUGAAUUGCCUUCCCCAUUGUGUGUUAAGGUUGUGCCUGGGAGCGGUUGAGGCCUCACCUCUGCUUGGGGAGUUGGCUUUGCUCUCCUGACAAGAGAAAGAAUCUUUUUUAGAACAUUUCUAAUGUGGUUUUUGCUUCCAGACAGAAUUACUUUUUUCACAGAGACAGCCACUCAAGUCAUAAAUUAUGCUCAGGAUGGACACACGGGUCAGCUGGCAGAGUGGAGUCCAGAACAGACCCAAAGACGCAAAAGCAGUUCAGUGGAAUUUGAGUCUUUUCAACAAAUGGUGCUGGAAUUAUGGGACAGCCGUAUGAAAAGAGUGAAAACAGGGAGAAAUUCCUGUAUGAAAAUUAAGGUGGACCAUAGCCCUGCAUG
Molecule: long non-coding RNA, 1980 nt
Filed under: Macaca fascicularis (crab-eating macaque)
Lineage: Eukaryota; Metazoa; Chordata; Mammalia; Primates; Cercopithecidae
Description: lncRNA (ENSMFAG00000050085.1)
Source: RNAcentral